GGGCGAUUAGCUCAGCGGUAGAGCAUUCCGUUCACAUCGGAAAGGUCGCUGGUUCAAUCCCAGCAUCGCCCACCA
RNAcentral lists this transfer RNA (75 nucleotides) under Hyphomicrobiales bacterium. RNAcentral's name for it is "tRNA-Val". It matches the Rfam family "tRNA". From Rfam's summary of the family: Transfer RNA (tRNA) molecules are approximately 80 nucleotides in length. Their secondary structure includes four short double-helical elements and three loops (D, anti-codon, and T loops). Further hydrogen bonds mediate the characteristic L-shaped molecular structure. tRNAs have two regions of fundamental functional importance: the anti-codon, which is responsible for specific mRNA codon recognition, and the 3' end, to which the tRNAs corresponding amino acid is attached (by aminoacyl-tRNA synthetases). tRNAs cope with the degeneracy of the genetic code in two manners: having more than one tRNA (with a specific anti-codon) for a particular amino acid; and 'wobble' base-pairing, i.e. permitting non-standard base-pairing at the 3rd anti-codon position. Lineage: Bacteria; Pseudomonadati; Pseudomonadota; Alphaproteobacteria; Hyphomicrobiales. The record is from RNAcentral. RNAcentral also lists the same sequence under 1 other name.